AACACUAUACUUUCAGGGAUCCUGUCUACAGGUCCUUACUAGAGAAGUUUCUCUGGCUGUGCAGAGAUCUGGAAACCACGAGAAGGAGGUGCAGCGUUCUCUCCUGGGUGUGACGCUGGCCCUGGCUGCUGUUUGUGCCACUGCUCAGAGCCGGGGAUGACCACUGCUCUCUCCCCUGGCAGAGCUAGAGGGCGAAAACACACUAUGAAUGGA
Jaculus jaculus (lesser Egyptian jerboa) is the source of this 213-nucleotide small nucleolar RNA. Its record names the gene U3. It matches the Rfam family "Small nucleolar RNA U3". Rfam says of the family: Small nucleolar RNAs (snoRNAs) are involved in the processing and modification of rRNA in the nucleolus. The record is from Ensembl. Lineage: Eukaryota; Metazoa; Chordata; Mammalia; Rodentia; Dipodidae.